AUGCAGCUGGCGAAUCCAAAAUAGGACGAAACGCACGUCUAACUGGAU
Non-coding RNA from Schistosoma haematobium, 48 nucleotides. NCBI's taxonomy places the organism in Eukaryota, Metazoa, Platyhelminthes, Trematoda, Strigeidida, Schistosomatidae. The record is from Rfam.